RNAcentral lists this long non-coding RNA (1039 nucleotides) under Anser brachyrhynchus (Pink-footed goose). RNAcentral's name for it is "lncRNA (ENSABRG00000022751.1)". Lineage: Eukaryota; Metazoa; Chordata; Aves; Anseriformes; Anatidae. The record is from RNAcentral.
CUAGAAGCCUGCCAGCAGGGCCUCUGAAGAGGUAAAACUGGUGGGGUAUGUUGGAGGGAUGCACAGGUGGUGGGAACCAAGUUGGUAUGGUUUCAUCCCCACUGCCUUUUGGGAGUCGUUCCUCAAGUGAGGAAGCUUGCCCAGAAUUUGCCUUGGAGAAAGCCCAUUGGAGCAGUUAUUACUGCUAGUAUUUUACAUCCUGCUGUACUUGUAUUUUAGUACAUUCAAUCAAAUAUGCCAUUAUGAGGAAAAAACAGCCAAAAUCCAUUCUAAUGCUUUGAUAACUUUUCUGUCAGCCAUCCAGUUGACUACGAUGUGAUUGCCUUACAUGUGCAAUGAUGUCCAGAAGAUCUCUGCCUCCGCAAGCUAUACAGUGUCGUCCUUGCCAUUAUGUUCCUCUAAAAAGAGUACUUCACUUCCCAAAUUCUGACUCACACUGAAACCUGCUCAGUUCUUCCCCAAAGAGCAUCUUCUCCUAGCGGAAAUCUGAGAGAAAUAACUAAAGGGAGAGCAGGAUUUUGGACAGCCUUAACACCAGCAAUUGUGUUUGCAGAUAUUAUAGUCUUGGUGUCUCAUCACUGCACGAGCUAGAUCGAGUAACUCCACCAGCAGCACGCUUGCCAAGCCAAAUAAUUUCCUGAGAGAAAAAAUCACCUUCCAGCUCUCCUGCACCACUGAAGUAGUGCUAUGGGGUUUUUCUGUCAAGGGCACAGUGUUUGCAUGCAGUGCCUAUAAAGACUCUGCAGGCUCAGCUGCCAUCCAUCCCAAACCACUGGCAGGUGAGUUUUGUUUUGUACUAUGUUACUUUAAGCAACAUUUUCUCUUGGAGAGGGCCAACAGUCACCAGAAGCAUCUAUCUGCAGGAAGGAAAGCAAAUCCAAAGGCAUGAGGUAUUAUUUGAAUGCUCUGCAUACAGACCUUUGCUUUCCUCCCAGUAAGUUUCUCCACCUUGUAGAACCUCAUAACCUGAAGUCAUGCUUCUCCAGACCAGUCAGCCUUGGAGCUCUCCGGACUUGUUUCAGCAGAUCAUUAGUUAAUC